CUGAAUCCACUGAUAGACCAUCGAACAGUUUACUGUUGUUCUUUGGUUUGCACUAGGAUGCAAGAAGAAAAAAAAUCCCUGUCUGUCUUUGUGGUGGCCCAGAUUGAAUAAGAGAUUACAUCU
Small nucleolar RNA from Erinaceus europaeus (western European hedgehog), 123 nucleotides. NCBI's taxonomy places the organism in Eukaryota, Metazoa, Chordata, Mammalia, Eulipotyphla, Erinaceidae. The record is from Ensembl.